This is a long non-coding RNA of Nycticebus coucang (slow loris), 462 nucleotides long. RefSeq lists it as uncharacterized. The record is from RefSeq and is a predicted model, not a curated record. Lineage: Eukaryota; Metazoa; Chordata; Mammalia; Primates; Lorisidae. The transcript has 3 exons.
CUCAGUGGCAUUGCCAGCUCGUCAGGGAAAGUACCAGACGAGCCAUCUGGAUGUGAGCCAGGAAAGUGAGCAGGGUUUCACGCGUGCUUUUCUGAGGGGCACGUUAGAAAUGCACAUUCUGAUAAAGGCACAACAGAAUGAAGCAGGGAAAGGAAAACCUUGAGACUGCAAAAGGGACCCAAGAAGAGCUCGGUGGAAAAUGAAUUCUCAUAACCCUGACAUGAGAGCAGCCAGUUUAGAAAUCAGUCCCUUUCCCAGAUUCCUGGAGUGCCUCAAGGCUAGAGUGCCUGGAAACACCCUACCUACGAUUCUGACCGACCUUAAGGAUAUGCCCACAAUCCUGACCUGCACUACAGAAGAGCCCCCGGCUGUACCCUGGGCUCCUGUGUGGGAGCUGAGCUGACACCCUGUCAGUCUCCAUCUGCCUUUUCUUCUCUAUUAAAGUCUUUCCUUGUCCCUGGA